GGGAGUUUAGCUCAGCUGGGAGAGCAUCUGCCUUACAAGCAGAGGGUCGGGGGUUCGAACCCCUCAACUCUCA
RNAcentral lists this transfer RNA (73 nucleotides) under Pseudolactococcus raffinolactis. Its description in RNAcentral is "tRNA-Val". It matches the Rfam family "tRNA". Rfam says of the family: Transfer RNA (tRNA) molecules are approximately 80 nucleotides in length. Their secondary structure includes four short double-helical elements and three loops (D, anti-codon, and T loops). Lineage: Bacteria; Bacillati; Bacillota; Bacilli; Lactobacillales; Streptococcaceae. The record is from RNAcentral. RNAcentral also lists the same sequence under 1 other name.